CCCUGUAUACCUGAGGCCUUCUGAAGGUAAGUGGCUUCUUUCUUUUUCUUUUCUUUUUUUUUUUUUUUCUUUUGCUUACUGCUGUUGUGUUUGUGUGAAUCCUCACUCACUGCAAUCUGAGAUCUCACUGCCCUGCUGUCAUUGUUGUGCUUUCUCUUCUGUUACAGAGGAAAUCUCCAGAAUUAUUAUGAUUUCACUGAUGACAUGUCCAAAUGAAGCUACCUCCCUUCAAGUUAGAACUCUAGACUACAGCUUCUUUGCUGCCUCUUUCUUCAGUAAUUGCUGUUUAUCUCAUAUAAUGUAAGAAGCAUAUGUUCCACAGGUCUGAUGUGUAUUCUAUCACUGCUGGCAUCCUCUGCUUCUACUGAAAUCAUGAAACUACUCUUGCUUCCUUGAUCCACCCAGCGUAGAGUGAUGCAACAGUCAUGAUUCUUCAAAGCAUGAAUGUAUAGAAAUUUGUUGCUAAGAAGUUUGAGUCAGAUUAUACUUACCUGUCUGUCAUCUUUGUGACUAAUGUAAUAUACAAGUUCUAAUAGAGACACAGCAGAGUUAGCUCAGAUACUAUGACAUGAAGAAGGGACAGCUAAGAAAUAGAUGCAAUUGCUGUAUGGAUAUGUCAUAGGGGAACUUAGGGUGGUGCAACAAUAAGAACAGACAUAUAAUCUGAAACUUAUUUGCUAAGCAGAAUGCGUUUAGUGGAAAGAGAGCAAUGUGUUACUCUGCAAUCUUCCUAUUCCAUGGCACUCAAACACUUCACACUCAGACGCAAUUUACCAAGGUUCACAUUUCUACAGCUCAUUUGAGAUAGCCAGUGUACUGUUCAAAUAUUUAAUGCUUAAAAUAUUUAAGACUGAUGUUCAAAAGGAUUAAAUAGAGUUGUGACAGCAAGUGCAUGAAAAGCCAAACAAGAUCUUAAGUAGUCUAUAACUUAAUGGCACACUGCAUCUGAGGACAGCUUUCUCUAGCUGUUCCAGUGGUGAGGCAUUAGAACAGUUACCAUCCUCAUUAAACCCUUAGAGACAACCAAGGUGAGGGUGGACCAGGCUCUGAGCAACAUGAUCUAACUGUAGAUGUUCUUAUUCAUUGCAAAGAAGCUGGACUAGAUGACAUUCAGUGAACCCUUCCAACUCAAAUGAUUCUGUGAUUCUAUGUUUGAGUUCUGGCUGCUAUUCUGGCCUCUAAACAUAACCCAUGCUGGAGUUCAUCCACAAAACCAUGUUCUCCAUAAUCCCAAGAAACACAGACUUAAAAUAGUAUUUAUUUUAAGAUUAGAUUGUGAGUAUGAACCACCAAUGCUAGUUACAUGUCCCCAGGCCAAUUUAUUUUACUUUCCACAUUUCUAAAACCAGCUAGUGCUUAUUUUUCAAGUUACUAUCACCUGGUUUUCCAUCCCAAAUGUUCUGCAAAGAUAUAAAGUUUCUAGGCAUUCUAGCAUUCAAAGAAAAAAUUGAAUUUAGACAGACAGGAAAUCACAGAAAAUAUAUGUUUGGUCUGAGUAUACUGAAAUCAAAUUUCUUAAUUGAUGUUUCUUAUUUUACACCUUGAGCUUGCUUAAAUGUUUUGCAAGUACAGUGGUAAGACCCUCUUACUGUAUUUUAUAGUCACACAUUAAAUAGUCCCAUCUGCCUGAAGCAAUAUCUACUACAGGAAUAAAGUGAUUAUCCAUUGUUGCCUGAUUUUCAAUUCCUCCAAAUGUAAUGAAUUUAAAUACAUUAUACUUGGUGUAAAAUAUCACCAUAACAUUAAGUAACUGUCAUUUAAAUAUGUUCAUGUAGUAUCUACAAUUCAAACUAAUAUGUUUUGUGAUAUGAAAUCUGGUCACUUAAUGUAGCAUGAAAAAGCAAUUUGAAAUAAAAUGAGAAAAAAUAUAUUAAAAUAUGGCUUUUAAAGUGACCUGAAGGUGCAGAGGACUGUCAGUGAAUGAGAACAUAUUACCUACAGGUCUAAAAGUUAUUUCACAUUGUGCAUACAUAGUGGUGAUAAGCUUAAACGGCAGACAAAAUUAACAUUAUAUAAAUAUAUGUUAAAAAAAAUAGACAAUUUUAAAUUUAAGCUUACAAUACUGAGAAGUUUAGAUUUUGUGAAACAGCAUGAAAUGAAUUUUCACUUAGCUACCUGACAUUUUUUUGAGAGUGGUUGUUUUCAGGUGUUCGAUUUCAUGAUCAUUCCAGAGGCCAGUUUGAAAAUCCAAGUACCUUCUAUUUUUGAUAUUAUUUGUUGUGCUUGUUUUUCUUUUGGCAUGUUACUUCCUAGUAAAGAAAUGUAACUAA
This is a long non-coding RNA of Gallus gallus (chicken), 2270 nucleotides long. RefSeq lists it as uncharacterized. The record is from RefSeq and is a predicted model, not a curated record. The transcript is spliced from 3 exons. Lineage: Eukaryota; Metazoa; Chordata; Aves; Galliformes; Phasianidae.